CCCUUAGAUGUUCUGGGCCGCACGCGCACUACACUGAUGCAUUCAACGAGUCUAAAACCUGCUCUGAUAGGGGUGGGUAAUCUUUUGAAUGUGCAUCGUGAUUGGGAUAGAUGAUUGCAAUUUUUCAUCUUCAACGAGGAAUGCCUAGUAAACGCGAGUCAUCAGCUUGCAUUGAUUACGUCCCUGCCCUUUGUACACACCGCCCGUCGCUCCUACCGAUUGAAUGAUCCGAUGAAUAUCAUGGAUUGAGGAUUAUAGCAGGUUCGCCUGUCUUGAUCUUCGAGAAGUGAAGUAAAUCUUAUCAUUUAGAGGAAGGAGAAGUCGUAACA
This 329-nucleotide ribosomal RNA is filed under the name uncultured eukaryote. RNAcentral describes it as "partial 18S ribosomal RNA". It matches the Rfam family "Eukaryotic small subunit ribosomal RNA", at positions 1470 to 1796 of the family's 1831-position model. The record is from RNAcentral.